RNAcentral lists this long non-coding RNA (1319 nucleotides) under Olea europaea subsp. europaea. Lineage: Eukaryota; Viridiplantae; Streptophyta; Magnoliopsida; Lamiales; Oleaceae. The record is from RNAcentral.
AAUUUACAGAGUCAAUUCUCGGCGCUGGAAAAAAAAAUUCCUUGCAUUCAUAAAUAAACAGGGCAUUGGAAUUCUUCACUCCUCCCAACUCCAUGCUUGCUUAUCAUCAUAUUUAUAUCUCCGCGUGCCUUUGGAAGGUACAACAUCUACUAACUUUUAUGAGAUUUGCAGAGCCAAGAUUUUAAUAUAGCCAUGAGAGUAGUUUUAUUUCUGGUCAUUCUAAUCACAGCAAAUGUUUCAAGAGGAGAGGGUACAAGACUGGCGAAGGCCGAUAGAGUUUUCAAAACUUCGCUUGAAGAUCAGAUGCCAAAAGGGCCGGUGCCACCUUCUGGUCCAUCCCCUUGCCAUAACAAAUUGGACCCUUUCAAGGAAAGAAAAUUUUAUUUCCCUCCUCCUAAUUCUAUUAUUUGUCCAUGAAGUUUCGACAUGUAUUAAUUAUUGUUUUUGGGUCAUUCUGAAUAUUUUUAAACACUUUCUCCUGCAGAGUUUAUUAAUUAGAUUUUGUAUUUCAGUUUUUCUUGUUUUGUUGGGGUAGGGAGGGCCGGAGGGGUAAUUUUUAUGUAUUAAUGCAAUGGGAUAAAUAAGGAAAACACAUCCUAAGUAGAUAAUAUCUUCCUGGUUAAAGUUUAAAGUUCAGACGAGUAUGCAUAGAAUAAAUGUCCUUUUCCCCUUCAUAAAGCUAUUUAUAAAUAGGCUCGAGUAAUUUGGAACACAACUGCAACCGGGGUAUACAAAGGCGGUUGAAAAUCGAGGUAUAUAUAUCCAAUUUUGAGAUUGGUUAGGCCUAUUAAAGGUUUUCUUCCACUAUAGUACAUUCAAGAAUGUCUUGUACUCUCAAAUUUUAUUGAAGAAUUUAUGAAUGAAGUGGCAAAUUUAUUGGGUAAUUGCCUCAAAAGUUAAAAGUUGGAAAACUUCUAUUGCAAAUAAUAAAAGGUAAUGAUUGUAUGGAAGACUUCUAAUUAAAGUUGAGAGCAUAAUCUUUGCAGUACUUGAUCUACAAUUUACAUUCGAUUUUGGAGUUUUGAACAUGAAGAAAUCCUUGUUUGAGUUGAAAUUAAACGCUUCUAUUUGGUUAUUGAUCCUAUAAAUAAUGGAUGUAUUUCAUUAUUUUGGAUGUGGACUAAGAGUUGAUUUGAGAGAGAAUAUAUUGUGAACCUAGUAUCUUGAGACCUUUCGGACAAAUGGGAGAAAAAUAGAUAUGGUAAAAUUCGAGUUCAUUUUUCUUUGUAAUACUUGGGAAUUAGGUUGGUGAGUGAAAUUCUAUAUGAUUGUAACAAUUUUCAUAUAGUAAAAAGUUUUGAUAGUCAGUUUAAUUGAUG